This 705-nucleotide ribosomal RNA is filed under the name Nostoc sp. 56.4. RNAcentral's name for it is "bacterial SSU rRNA". It matches the Rfam family "Bacterial small subunit ribosomal RNA", at positions 38 to 785 of the family's 1533-position model. The record is from RNAcentral. Lineage: Bacteria; Bacillati; Cyanobacteriota; Cyanophyceae; Nostocales; Nostocaceae.
GGCGGUAUGCUUAACACAUGCAAGUCGAACGAAAUCUUUCGGGAUUUAGUGGCGGACGGGUGAGUAACGCGUGAGAAUCUGGCUUCAGGUCUGGGACAACCACUGGAAACGGUGGCUAAUACCGGAUGUGCCGAGAGGUGAAAGGUUAACUGCCUGAAGAUGAGCUCGCGUCUGAUUAGCUAGUUGGAAGUGUAAUGGACUCCCAAGGCGACGAUCAGUAGCUGGUCUGAGAGGACGAUCAGCCACACUGGGACUGAGACACGGCCCAGACUCCUACGGGAGGCAGCAGUGGGGAAUUUUCCGCAAUGGGCGAAAGCCUGACGGAGCAAUACCGCGUGAGGGAGGAAGGCUCUUGGGUCGUAAACCUCUUUUCUCAGGGAAGAAGACAAUGACGGUACCUGAGGAAUAAGCAUCGGCUAACUCCGUGCCAGCAGCCGCGGUAAUACGGAGGAUGCAAGCGUUAUCCGGAAUGAUUGGGCGUAAAGCGUCCGCAGGUGGCGAUGUAAGUCUGCUGUUAAAGAGUCUAGCUCAACUAGAUAAGAGCAGUGGAAACUACAUAGCUAGAGUACGUUCGGGGCAGAGGGAAUUCCUGGUGUAGCGGUGAAAUGCGUAGAGAUCAGGAAGAACACCGGUGGCGAAGGCGCUCUGCUAGGCCGUAACUGACACUGAGGGACGAAAGCUAGGGGAGCGAAUGGGAUUAGAUAC